UUGAAAAAUUUAUAUUUAAAAAGAAAAAUUUAUUUUUUGUACCUUGUGUAUCAGGGUUUAUUAAAAAAUUAAUAAUUAUUUAUUAAUCUCGAUUUUAUAAGAGUUAAUAAUUUAUGAAAGUUAAUAUAUUAUAAUUAUUUUUUAUAAAUUGUUGGAAAUGAAAGGUUAUUCGUUUAUGAAGAUAUCUAGUUUUUUUAGAAAUAAAUUCAAUUUAUAAAUUUUUAAGUUUUUUUUUAUUAAAUUAAUUAAAAAAAAUUAUUAAUUUAGAUAUUUUAAGGGAUAAGCUUUAAAAUAAAUUAUUAUAAAUUAAGUAAAUUAUUAUUUAAAAUAUAUGCAUAGAAUUAGCAAUUAUUAUUGAUAUUGUUAUAAAUUAUUUUUAUUUUUAUAUUAUUUAUUAAUUUUUAAUUAUUUAUAAAAAUUUUUAUUUUAAUUUAUUUUAUAAAUAAAUAAUGAUAAAAUUAGUAUAUAUGUAUAUUAUGUAUAAAUAAUUUUAUUUGAUAAGUUUAUAUAAAGAACUCGGCAAAUAUUUAUACUCGCCUGUUUAACAAAAACAUGUCUUUUUGAGUUAAUUUUAAAGUCUGACCUGCCCAAUGAAAUAUUUUAAUGGCCGCAGUAUUUUAACUGUGCAAAGGUAGCAUAAUCAUUAGUCUUUUAAUUGAAGGCUUGUAUGAAUGGUUGGACGAAGUAUAAACUGUUUCAUAUAAAUUUAUUAUAGAAUUUUAUAUUUUAGUGAAAAAGCUAAAAUAUUAUUAAAAGACGAGAAGACCCUAUAAAUCUUUAUAUUUUAUUUUAUUUAAAUUUUUUAGAUUAUUUAUAUUUAUAUAAAUUAAAUUAUUUUGUUGGGGUGAUAUUAAAAUUUAUUUAACUUUUAAUUUAAUAAAAUCAUUAAUUUAUGAUUUAUUGAUCCAUUAAUAGUGAUUAUAAGAAUAAGUUACUUUAGGGAUAACAGCGUAAUUUUUUUGGAGAGUUCUUAUUGAUAAAAAAGUUUGCGACCUCGAUGUUGGAUUAAGAUAUAAAUUUAGGUGUA
RNAcentral lists this ribosomal RNA (1027 nucleotides) under Noeeta bisetosa. RNAcentral's name for it is "partial 16S ribosomal RNA". The record is from RNAcentral. Lineage: Eukaryota; Metazoa; Arthropoda; Insecta; Diptera; Tephritidae.